UGGGGAAUAUUGCACAAUGGAGGGAACUCUGAUGCAGCGACGCCGCGUGAACGAAGAAGGCUUUCGAGUCGUAAAGUUCUUUUAUAUGGGAAGAUAAUGACGGUACCAUAAGAAAAAGCCCCGGCUAACUACGUGCCAGCAGCCGCGGUAAUACGUAGGGGGCUAGCGUUGUCCGGAAUCACUGGGCGUAAAGGGUUCGCAGGCGGAAAUGCAAGUCAGGUGUAAAAGGCAGUAGCUUAACUACUGUAAGCAUUUGAAACUGCAUAUCUUGAGAAGAGUAGAGGUAAGUGGAAUUUUUAGUGUAGCGAUGAAAUGCGUAGAUAUUGGGAGGAACACCAGUAGCGAAGGCGGCUUUCUGGACUGCAACUGACACUGAGGCACGAAAGCGUGGGUAGCAAACAGG
RNAcentral lists this ribosomal RNA (403 nucleotides) under Verrucomicrobiota bacterium. RNAcentral's name for it is "Verrucomicrobia bacterium partial 16S ribosomal RNA". It matches the Rfam family "Bacterial small subunit ribosomal RNA", at positions 355 to 776 of the family's 1533-position model. The record is from RNAcentral. Lineage: Bacteria; Pseudomonadati; Verrucomicrobiota.